GAUGAACGCUGGCGGCGUGCCUAAUACAUGCAAGUCGAGCGAACAGACGAGGAGCUUGCUCCUCUGACGUUAGCGGCGGACGGGUGAGUAACACGUGGAUAACCUACCUAUAAGACUGGGAUAACUUCGGGAAACCGGAGCUAAUUCCGGAUAACAUGUUGAACCGCAUGGUUCAACAGUGAAAGACGGUUUUGCUGUCACUUAUAGAUGGAUCCGCGUCGCAUUAGCUAGUUGGUAAGGUAACGGCUUACCAAGGCAACGAUGCGUAGCCGACCUGAGAGGGUGAUCGGCCACACUGGAACUGAGACACGGUCCAGACUCCUACGGGAGGCAGCAGUAGGGAAUCUUCCGCAAUGGGCGAAAGCCUGACGGAGCAACGCCGCGUGAGUGAAGAAGGUCUUCGGAUCGUAAAACUCUGUUAUUAGGGAAGAACAAAUGUGUAAGUAACUAUGCACGUCUUGACGGUACCUAAUCAGAAAGCCACGGCUAACUACGUG
Molecule: ribosomal RNA, 497 nt
Filed under: uncultured bacterium
Lineage: Bacteria
Description: partial 16S ribosomal RNA
Rfam family: Bacterial small subunit ribosomal RNA
Source: RNAcentral